RNAcentral lists this unclassified non-coding RNA (448 nucleotides) under Fusarium solani. RNAcentral describes it as "sequence contains 18S rRNA gene, ITS1, 5.8S rRNA gene, ITS2, 28S rRNA gene". The stretch from base 123 to 276 matches the Rfam family "5.8S ribosomal RNA". The record is from RNAcentral. Lineage: Eukaryota; Fungi; Ascomycota; Sordariomycetes; Hypocreales; Nectriaceae.
AACAUACCUAAAACGUUGCUUCGGCGGGAACAGACGGCCCUGUAACAACGGGCCGCCCCCGCCAGAGGACCCCUAACUCUGUUUUUAUAAUGUUUUUCUGAGUAAACAAGCAAAUAAAUUAAAACUUUCAACAACGGAUCUCUUGGCUCUGGCAUCGAUGAAGAACGCAGCGAAAUGCGAUAAGUAAUGUGAAUUGCAGAAUUCAGUGAAUCAUCGAAUCUUUGAACGCACAUUGCGCCCGCCAGUAUUCUGGCGGGCAUGCCUGUUCGAGCGUCAUUACAACCCUCAGGCCCCCGGGCCUGGCGUUGGGGAUCGGCAGAAGCCCCCUGUGGGCACACGCCGUCCCUCAAAUACAGUGGCGGUCCCGCCGCAGCUUCCAUUGCGUAGUAGCUAACACCUCGCAACUGGAGAGCGGCGCGGCCAUGCCGUAAAACACCCAACUUCUGAA